Molecule: long non-coding RNA, 729 nt
Filed under: Homo sapiens (human)
Lineage: Eukaryota; Metazoa; Chordata; Mammalia; Primates; Hominidae
Description: long non-coding RNA NONHSAT103851.2
Source: RNAcentral
GGCAUUUUAUUUUAUUAUUUUUAUUUUUUUUGAGACGGUGUUUCAUUUUUGUCGAUAAGAAAAAAAAAAACCUGAAAACAGAAAAGAGGGCUUUUACAAUGUUGAUGAACUCAUCUUAGAGUGCAUGAUUUAUAAAUACAUAAAUAUCCAUGCAUACUUUUACAGUGAUAACUCCUGGGAAAAUGAGAAUGUUAAAAAAGCCAAUCUAGACAGAGUCCUUCUCAUUCCACCUGCCUCUUUAUGUUGGUAAUACCAGGAGUCUUAAGAGAGCUGCUGUGGUCUAUGUCACAUUCAUCCCAGCCUCCUUUCUAAUCCUGUAGCUGAUGAUGAAAAUGUGAUAAAUCUUCUGGCUUAGCUUUGAUGCUUUUUCAUUAAUUCACUUCUGGUAGUAAAUUGUGGCAGGUCUUCCACUUCAAUCCCAUCGGCCAUUUCCAUCACCUUGUCUAAAAGGUCUUUAUUGUAACUGCAGCCUAGGAAGAGAUGGUUGGCCCAGACCAUGGAGAGGGAGAGCAGCUGGUCCAGGCGGCCACUGCCGUCGGGCGGGUCGCGGUAGUCGGGCAGGUGGCGCAGGAUGAAUUCCAUGCGGGCCUUCCAUUGCUUCUCGCUCUCUGAGUAGGAGCGGAACUGCUCCGCGAAGUCGGCCGCCUGCCGCACCCCCGAAACCAGCUCCUCCACUGCGGCAGCCGCCUCGCCACCGACCAUGGUGCCCGCCGCAGCCGAGGACCGGAU